GGCUGCACUAUACAUUUUAAACAUAUUUUUAUCAUUAUUGCAAUAUGACUUGCAAUAUCACUGUGAAUAACAGCAAACUCAAACUGCAUAACUCACAUACAGCAACAAACAUAACGAGGUUGGAGGUAGAGUGAGGCAGAGCAAGGUAGAGUGAAGGUAGAGUGAGGUAAGUUAAUGUAGAUGUGUGUGGUAGAGUGAGGUACACUGAGGCAGAGCAAAAGUAGAGCGAGGUAGAGCAAGGGCAUAGUGUGGAAGUGUGGUAAAGUGAUGUCGAUUGAGGUACACUGAGGUAGAACAAGGUAGAACAAAGGUAGAGUAAAGGUAGAGCAAGGUACACUGAGGUAAAGGGAAGGUAGCGUGAGGUAGAUUAAGGUAGAGCAGAAGUAGAGUGAGGUACAGUGAGGUAGAGUAGGGUAGAGCAAGGAUAAAGCAUGGUAGUGUUGUAGAGUGAUGUAGAUUGAGGUAGAGCGAGAUAAAAUGUUAUGUAGAUUGAGAUACACUGAGGUGGAGCGAGGUAGAGUGAGGGAAUAGCAUGGAAGUGUGGUAGAGGGAAGUACAUUAAAGUAGAGCAAAAGUAGAGUCAGGUACACAAAAGUAGAGCAAAGGUAAAGUGAGGUACACUGAGGUAGAGCAAGGUCAUAGUGUGGAAGUGUGGUAGAGUGAUGUAGCUUGGGAUACAAUGAGAUGAAAUAGAGUGAUAUAGACCAAGGGAAUAGUGUGGUAGAGCGGUAGAGUCAUAUAGAUUGAGAUAGAGCAAAGUUAGCAUGAUGUACAUUAAGAUACACUGAGGUAGAGCAUAGGUAGAGUGAGGUAGAGCGAGGGUAUAGUGUGGUAAAGUAAUGUAGAUUAAGGUAGAGUAAAGGUAUACAGUGAGGUCACACUAAACACU
Astyanax mexicanus (Mexican tetra) is the source of this 889-nucleotide long non-coding RNA. RefSeq lists it as uncharacterized. NCBI's taxonomy places the organism in Eukaryota, Metazoa, Chordata, Actinopteri, Characiformes, Acestrorhamphidae. The record is from RefSeq and is a predicted model, not a curated record. The transcript is spliced from 2 exons.